GAUGAACGCUGGCGGCGUGCCUAAUACAUGCAAGUCGAGCGAACGGACGAGAAGCUUGCUUCUCUGAUGUUAGCGGCGGACGGGUGAGUAACACGUGGAUAACCUACCUAUAAGACUGGGAUAACUUCGGGAAACCGGAGCUAAUACCGGAUAAUAUUUUGAACCGCAUGGUUCAAAAGUGAAAGACGGUCUUGCUGUCACUUAUAGAUGGAUCCGCGCUGCAUUAGCUAGUUGGUAAGGUAACGGCUUACCAAGGCAACGAUGCAUAGCCGACCUGAGAGGGUGAUCGGCCACACUGGAACUGAGACACGGUCCAGACUCCUACGGGAGGCAGCAGUAGGGAAUCUUCCGCAAUGGGCGAAAGCCUGACGGAGCAACGCCGCGUGAGUGAUGAAGGUCUUCGGAUCGUAAAACUCUGUUAUUAGGGAAGAACAUAUGUGUAAGUAACUGUGCACAUCUUGACGGUACCUAAUCAGAAAGCCACGGCCAACUACGUGCCAGCAGCCGCGGUAAUACGUAGGUGGCAAGCGUUAUCCGGAAUUAUUGGGCGUAAAGCGCGCGUAGGCGGUUUUUUAAGUCUGAUGUGAAAGCCCACGGCUCAACCGUGGAGGGUCAUUGGAAACUGGAAAACUUGAGUGCAGAAGAGGAAAGUGGAAUUCCAUGUGUAGCGGUGAAAUGCGCAGAGAUAUGGAGGAACACCAGUGGCGAAGGCGACUUUCUGGUCUGUAACUGACGCUGAUGUGCGAAAGCGUGGGGAUCAAACAGGAUUAGAUACCCUGGUAGUCCACGCCGUAAACGAUGAGUGCUAAGUGUUAGGGGGUUUCCGCCCCUUAGUGCUGCAGCUAACGCAUUAAGCACUCCGCCUGGGGAGUACGACCGCAAGGUUGAAACUCAAAGGAAUUGACGGGGACCCGCACAAGCGGUGGAGCAUGUGGUUUAAUUCGAAGCAACGCGAAGAACCUUACCAAAUCUUGACAUCCUUUGACAACUCUAGAGAUAGAGCCUUCCCCUUCGGGGGACAAAGUGACAGGUGGUGCAUGGUUGUCGUCAGCUCGUGUCGUGAGAUGUUGGGUUAAGUCCCGCAACGAGCGCAACCCUUAAGCUUAGUUGCCAUCAUUAAGUUGGGCACUCUAAGUUGACUGCCGGUGACAAACCGGAGGAAGGUGGGGAUGACGUCAAAUCAUCAUGCCCCUUAUGAUUUGGGCUACACACGUGCUACAAUGGACAAUACAAAGGGCAGCGAAACCGCGAGGUCAAGCAAAUCCCAUAAAGUUGUUCUCAGUUCGGAUUGUAGUCUGCAACUCGACUACAUGAAGCUGGAAUCGCUAGUAAUCGUAGAUCAGCAUGCUACGGUGAAUACGUUCCCGGGUCU
Molecule: ribosomal RNA, 1372 nt
Filed under: uncultured bacterium
Lineage: Bacteria
Description: bacterial SSU rRNA
Rfam family: Bacterial small subunit ribosomal RNA
Source: RNAcentral